CGAGCGCCUCCCUUGUAAAAAAAUGCCAGCAUGUAUUGACGGGAACUCAAACGGAGACUGCCGGUGCAAACCGCGAGGAGGGUGGGGAUGACGUCAAAUCAUCACGGCCCUUACGUCCUGGGCUACACACGUGCUACAAUGGCCGGUACAGAGGGCAGCCACACCGCAAGGUGGAGCGUAUCCUUGAAACCGGGCUCAGUUCGGAUCGGGGUCUGCAACUCGACCCCGUGAAUCUGGAAUCGCUAGUAAUCGGAUAUCCGCCAUGAUCCGGUGAAUACGUUCCAGGGCCUUGUACACUUUCCCAUAAA
Molecule: ribosomal RNA, 308 nt
Filed under: uncultured Flavobacterium sp.
Lineage: Bacteria; Pseudomonadati; Bacteroidota; Flavobacteriia; Flavobacteriales; Flavobacteriaceae
Description: bacterial SSU rRNA
Rfam family: Bacterial small subunit ribosomal RNA
Source: RNAcentral